GCGAGUAUAGUUUAGUGGUAAAACCUUGGUCUUCCAAAUCAACGAUGUGGGUUCGAUUCCCAUUGCUCGCU
This 71-nucleotide transfer RNA is filed under the name Olisthodiscus luteus. Its description in RNAcentral is "tRNA-Gly". It matches the Rfam family "tRNA". From Rfam's summary of the family: Transfer RNA (tRNA) molecules are approximately 80 nucleotides in length. Their secondary structure includes four short double-helical elements and three loops (D, anti-codon, and T loops). The record is from RNAcentral. Lineage: Eukaryota; Olisthodiscophyceae; Olisthodiscaceae.